UACAGAGGGGGCCAGCGUUAUUCGGAAUUACUGGGCGUAAAGGGCUCGUAGGCGGCCAACUAAGUCAGACGUGAAAUCCCUCGGCUUAACCGGGGAACUGCCUCUGAUACUGGAUGGCUUGAGAUUGGGAGAGGGAUGCGGAAUUCCAGGUGUAGCGGUGAAAUGCGUAGAUAUCUGGAGGAACACCGGUGGCGAAGGCGGCAUCCUGGACCAACACUGACGCUGAGGAGCGAAAGCCAGGGGAGCAAACGGG
This 253-nucleotide ribosomal RNA is filed under the name uncultured bacterium. RNAcentral describes it as "partial 16S ribosomal RNA". It matches the Rfam family "Bacterial small subunit ribosomal RNA", at positions 524 to 776 of the family's 1533-position model. The record is from RNAcentral.